RNAcentral lists this ribosomal RNA (315 nucleotides) under uncultured bacterium. RNAcentral's name for it is "bacterial SSU rRNA". It matches the Rfam family "Bacterial small subunit ribosomal RNA", at positions 28 to 334 of the family's 1533-position model. The record is from RNAcentral.
GAUAAACGCUGGCGGCGCACAUAAGACAUGCAAGUCGAACGAACUUAAUCUCUUGCUUGCAAGAGAAGCGGUUAGUGGCGGACUGGUGAGUAACACGUAAGAAAUCUGCCUAUCAGAGGGGAAUAACAGUGAGAAAUCACUGCUAAUACCGCAUAUGCCAUAGGGUUCGCAUGAACCUAGUGGGAAAGGAGCAAUCCGCUGAUAGAUGAGCUUGCGUCUGAUUAGCUAGUUGGUGGGGUAAAGGCCUACCAAGGCAACGAUCAGUAGCCGGACUGAGAGGUUGAACGGCCACAUUGGGACUGAGAUACGGCCCAG